This 492-nucleotide ribosomal RNA is filed under the name uncultured bacterium. Its description in RNAcentral is "partial 16S ribosomal RNA". It matches the Rfam family "Bacterial small subunit ribosomal RNA", at positions 29 to 507 of the family's 1533-position model. The record is from RNAcentral.
AGUGAACGCUGGCGGUAGGCCUAACACAUGCAAGUCGAACGGCAGCACAGUAAGAGCUUGCUCUUACGGGUGGCGAGUGGCGGACGGGUGAGGAACACAUCGGAAUCUACUUUUUCGUGGGGGAUAACGUAGGGAAACUUACGCUAAUACCGCAUACGACCUACGGGUGAAAGCAGGGGAUCUUCGGACCUUGCGCGAUUGAAUGAGCCGAUGUCGGAUUAGCUAGUUGGCGGGGUAAAGGCCCACCAAGGCGACGAUCCGUAGCUGGUCUGAGAGGAUGAUCAGCCACACUGGAACUGAGACACGGUCCAGACUCCUACGGGAGGCAGCAGUGGGGAAUAUUGGACAAUGGGCGCAGGCCUGAUCCAGCCAUACCGCGUGGGUGAAGAAGGCCUUCGGGUUGUAAAGCCCUUUUGUUGGGAAAGAAAAGCAGCAGGUUAAUACCCCGCUGUUCUGACGGUACCCAAAGAAUAAGCACCGGCUAACUUCGUG